RNAcentral lists this ribosomal RNA (489 nucleotides) under uncultured bacterium. Its description in RNAcentral is "partial 16S ribosomal RNA". It matches the Rfam family "Bacterial small subunit ribosomal RNA", at positions 30 to 507 of the family's 1533-position model. The record is from RNAcentral.
UUGAACGCUGGCGGCAGGCCUAACCCAUGCAAGUCGAACGGUAACAGGAAGCAGCUUGCUGCUUCGCUGACGAGUGGCGGACGGGUGAGUAAUGUCUGGGAAACUGCCUGAUGGAGGGGGAUAACUACUGGAAACGGUAGCUAAUACCGCAUAACGUCGCAAGACCAAAGAGGGGGACCUUAGGGCCUCUUGCCAUCGGAUGUGCCCAGAUGGGAUUAGCUAGUAGGUGGGGUAACGGCUCACCUAGGCGACGAUCCCUAGCUGGUCUGAGAGGAUGACCAGCCACACUGGAACUGAGACACGGUCCAGACUCCUACGGGAGGCAGCAGUGGGGAAUAUUGCACAAUGGGCGCAAGCCUGAUGCAGCCAUGCCGCGUGUAUGAAGAAGGCCUUCGGGUUGUAAAGUACUUUCAGCGGGGAGGAAGGGAGUAAAGUUAAUACCUUUGCUCAUUGACGUUACCCGCAGAAGAAGCACCGGCUAACUCCGUG